Molecule: long non-coding RNA, 1007 nt
Organism: Pseudophryne corroboree (corroboree frog)
Lineage: Eukaryota; Metazoa; Chordata; Amphibia; Anura; Myobatrachidae
Exons: 3
Source: RefSeq, a predicted model, not a curated record
UCCUGUCUGCACUAUCUCCAGUUUGGUUCAAGCCUCCUGGUUCCAGUCCGGUUCAAGUUUCCGGUUCAAGUCUCCGGUUCCAGUCUGAUUCAAGUGCUCUCCACUUACGUUGCUGUCACUGGAGUCCUGCUGGCUGCCUACUAGGAAUAUCAUGGAGGAACCUGAGGAUGGCAAAUACACGAAAACAACAACCCCAAUCUGGCAAAUCAACUCAAAGACUGGCAAUGCGGCAAAUUAUGCCUAACCACAUUGUGUCAGAAAUCAUGAUUUUUUUCUACAGUAUCUCAAUUCUCAGGCCUCUUUCCUUUUCUGUCUGCAACUCCUUCCUUGGAGAACCCAUUCUUAUGCCUUCAAUACCAUCUAUACAAUGAUGAAACUCAAAUCUACCUCUCCACCCCUGAUCUCUCUAUCCCCCUAUUCUCUCCCUCAUCUUCAACUGCCUUUCUGCCAUUUUCUCCUGGAUAUCAAAGCGUUUCCAGAAGCUAAAUAUCUCCAAAACCAAACUUGUUGAUUUUCCCUCUUCCAGGGUCUCUCCAUCACUCUUUCUGUUGAUAACAUCACCCUUUUUUCUAUUUCUCAAGUCUGCUGCCUCACUGUCAUCCUUGUCUCUCCUUUUCCUCUGGAACACUGCCAAAAUCUCAUCUAGCCUCUCUCCACCUUCAGUCUAUUCUUAAUGCUACUGCUUAUUUUCUCAAUUUUCUCUGCCAGUGUAUGGCUUCCGCCUUCCCCCAUCUGCAACAUGCUUACCAUCCUCCAAAGUUUCAAGUUCAAACUCCUCAUUCUCACCUACAAAGCCUUAAACUACUGUACUCUGCCUGUCCCUACUUUUUCAACCUCAUCUCUAUCCACACUCUUCUGGCCAAUGCCUUCUCUACAACCUGGUCACCCUCUCGUGCUCCCCUUCAAGAUUUCACUUUGUGAGCCACACAGUGUUAAUUAGGGAACUGUGUGUUUAGUAAGACAUAAGGGAGACAAGCAAGAAUUUUGUUUUGCUUAUCUGCUGUACU